This 428-nucleotide ribosomal RNA is filed under the name uncultured bacterium. RNAcentral describes it as "partial 16S ribosomal RNA". It matches the Rfam family "Bacterial small subunit ribosomal RNA", at positions 354 to 796 of the family's 1533-position model. The record is from RNAcentral.
GUGGGGAAUAUUGGGCAAUGGGCGAAAGCCUGACCCAGCAACGCCGCGUGAGGGAAGAAGGUUUUCGGAUUGUAAACCUCUGUCCUUGGGGACGAAGAAAGUGACGGUACCCAGGGAGGAAGCCCCGGCUAACUACGUGCCAGCAGCCGCGGUAAUACGUAGGGGGCGAGCGUUGUUCGGAAUGACUGGGCGUAAAGGGCGCGUAGGCGGCCGAUUAAGUCUGGAGUGAAAGUCCUGUUUUUAAGGCGGGAAUUGCUUUGGAGACUGGUUGGCUUGAGUGCGGAAGAGGUAAGUGGAAUUCCCAGUGUAGCGGUGAAAUGCGUAGAGAUUGGGAGGAACACCAGUGGCGAAGGCGACUUACUGGGCCGUAACUGACGCUGAAGCGCGAAAGCGUGGGGAGCGAACAGGAUUAGAAACCCGUGUAGUCC